GACUCCGCAGAGCGCAGUUGUUCAGCGUGUUGCAGCAACCAAUAACCGUGGACACGUGGUUAUUUUUAGCUCGGGUGGCCUCCCACGGGAAUUCGGACACCCGUUAAAGGCCAGGUAGUCAAGGAUUACCUUUUUACUGUGCUAUUUGGGUGAAGGGUUGGACCCGGCCGUAACCACAACGUGACUGACCUGUGAGCUUUAAGUAAAGCGGAAAAGCGCAAGUGUAAUACUUAGACGCCGGACGUGAAGCUCCCUGUCGGGCUGCGGGGAACGGUUAUAAAUUAAUUAGGGCUUAGAAAUUUGACCGCUGUCGGCAACGGUGUUCCCGAAGCGAGUGGAUUGACCAGCAAGGUUGGACCUGGGCUUAGAGGCUUUUAAAUUAGUCAAAAAGUUAGGUGUAAUGCUACAGAGGUUUUGAAGAAGAAUAAGGAUAAGAAGUGACAAGAAUAAAAUAAGAAGUGUGUUAGUGGAAAAUGAUUCUAUGUUUCUUUACCUUCUUUUAAAUGUACAAAGAUGCCUUUUCUCUGCCCUUUGUCUAUGGUUAGAUUAGUUUAGAAUUAUCCUUUUAGACUUUCCCAGCGAAGACAUAUUGUUUUGGGACAUAUUGUUUUAGAUUGUUUUAUCUCUCACAGCUUUCUCCCAGCUCUCUGCUGACGAGACUAGCGCCACAUAUGGAGUUGUUUAUUUUAUCUGUUUAUUAUUUUCUUAUCCUGUUCUCACUGUCUUUCCUAUAAAAAGUGCCAAGCCUCUGUUCACGACGUGAGUUGUUCUCAGCAGCUCACCCGUGUUCACGUUAAAGCAUAAAAAGUAACUUUGUCUCAUUGUGUCUUUAUUUCUCCUGGGUUUUUUACAGAGUUUUCCCCCAACAUUUCUUGGUCCUUCGGAGCCGGAGCGCCUCCAUCGUGUCCCAUCUCCGUGACCAGUCCACGUUGUUCGCCUGUCGACAGCUCACACACCAGGUGUGUGGAAAAAGACCAAGAGCGUUAAAUUCGGGUCUUGGCCAACGUCUUAGAAAGCGACCCACGGUGGUGGGGCCCGAUCGAGGUGGACCAGACCCGGCGACACUGACCAGAGCAGAAGCUGCUGUAACACACCCAAAGAAAGACUCUAGGUCUGACCAACCGUCUCAGUCGUGGGCAAAAAGAUGACAGUCAAUAAAAUUCUAAAAGAUAAUUUAUUGACGAAAAAUAUAUCAAGAGAUAAAAGAUAAAACAGUCCAGUGUCCCACUUAUGAAUUGUAUAAAAACACACAGUCCCAAGGCCAGAGCCAGCUAUGCCACACGGCCAAGUUACACUCCACAUGUUGCCUUUAACAGGGUUAGAAGUUGUCCUUGGAGACCCACCACCCUGCAAGCAUAUAGUCAGUGGUCACUCAAGCCUCUGCAACCCUGCUGCCUUUAGGCUGUGGCAUAUAAUAGGCCCUGGACUGCACAGAGAGACAAAACGACACACUUAAUAUAAAAUUCAUAGCGCAAAACCCAUCCAUCCCAAACAUAUCUGAUUUCAUCACAUUACAUACCUGCACAGAGAGACAAAACGACACAGCAGUGUUUGUAGUGUGGGCUAUAAGUAGACCAGUGUAUCAGUGCAAUCAAGUACACUUGCCUCUAAUUAGUCCAACCCCAUUCCAGCCAUUGGCUCACCAAAAAUGUGACACACACAAAACCACUCCCAACCCAGUGCAACUUCACACAAUAAUAUGGAGCUGAAUUAACACAGGCACAUUAGUCUACCAUGUUACAAGCUGCAUGCUAUUAAAAGCCAACAUAUGCAGACUUCUGCCUUGUUCGGGUGGCAGCAUUUUUUCUUUUUUCUUUUGUGUCCUGACACGUUUAUGUUUUUGUUUUUGUUUGAUUAUUUUGUUGGUUUUGGAAACAAAUUUAAACGAACUUGUGACAAUACUUGAGAAUCACAGUGACACAGUGAUUAGGCAUAUGAUUGGAAAAUGCCUAGGUUUAGAGCUGUGAGCUAUGAGCUGUGAGCAAUGCAAAGUUAAAUAUAUAUAUGUAUAAAUGGGAAACAACCCUAACUUGAAAGUUUGAAAUGUGUGAGAUCCAUGACUUGUUUGAAAAACUAGAAAUUAUCUAAAAAUGCCUUAAGUGAAAAUGUAGUGUUGCAUCUAUUCUCCCAAACCAAGACAAAAAAAGAAGCAGCAUUCUGUAACUUAAAAAUAAGGCUGACGUGUUGACAAUAGACUAAAACACUAAUUCGCAGGUGGCUAUCAGGAACAGAGAGGCGAGCAAAGUCACAAACACCAAGGCUGCAGACAGCCACGCAGAAACAGCAGAUAACAUAGAGACAACGCCUGCUAGAACCGUGGAGAGGAAGGUCACUUCACACGAGAUUGUAGGAGUAGGCCACAGAGAAAUAAUGCAAAACAGUUUUGAGGCAGCCACUUAAGAACUUACAGUUUUCAAAGGACAAAUUAGUUGUAAAGUCAGCUGCAGGCCACACAACUGUACAACAAUUAACUGCCCCUUUAGAACUAGUACAUACAGCAAGUGGCCGCAGGUGCUUUAUUAAAUGCAUAUGACCCGUUGUGUCCAGUAAAUUUGCUAGGUAGAGACGCUCUGACAAAACUUAAGAUAGCAGUCAUGGCAUUCUUUUCUGGUAUUACACCUGAGUGCAUGCUAAAUGACACCCGCCACAUCCACUUUCCAGAAACCGACCGAGUAUCACAACAUUCUGAGAUUUAAACAAACUCCAGGCCCAGAUCCACCUUAUGAUCAGCAAGUGUGGAAGCUAGGAGAACAGCACUUGACCUUACAGCACAGGCCGAAAUUGUGUAGGUUACGCAGUGACCACAGAUAGUAGAAUAAUAGAAGCAAAACCACUUUCUUGUUCAUAUUCUGCACAGAGCGCUGAGCUGUUAGCUGUGAUUUGCGCAUGUGAAAUACACAAAGAUAAACAAAUAACCAUUUAUAUAGACAGCCAGUAUGUUUUCUCUGCUGUGCAUCAUUUUGCAAAAAAUUUGGAAAACCAGAGGAAUGAUUACACCAACCGGAAAACCAGUUCAGCAUGCCAACCUCUUACAACGCCUCUUUCAUUGCUACAGGCAAUAACUUUGCUGACAGAGCAGCAAAACAGGCGGCACAAAAGACAAACUUCACAUUGAUGGCAGUAAACACACAUCAGAUUCCACUGGAUGUGUUGAAAAAUGAACAAAAAGCAGCAAGCACAGCAGAGCAGGCAAAAUGGCUAAAACACGGAGCAGUUCUGACAAACGACUUAAUGAUGUGUUAUGGCAAGCCAGUGUUGCCAAAAUUCCUCCACAAAAUGGCGGCAUUAGUGACUCAUGGCUGUACGCAUUUGUCAACGGGGGGACUGACCAGUAUUGUCAACUCUCAUUUCUACACUGUAAAUUCUACACUGUAAAUUUUGAAACAUCAGCAAAACAAUUUGUCAGAACGUGCAUGACGUGUCAAAACAAUCCACAUGGACUUUAUUGAGCUAAAUGAAUGCCAAGGGUAAAAAUACGCCCUAGUGGUUAUAGAUGUAUUCUCAAAGUGGCCAGAAAUCUACCCAGUGAAAAAGGCAGAUACAAUUUCAGUAGCAAAAUGUAUGUCUAAGUUGUAGGAAAAUAAAGAGAUGAUUGUAAAUAACGAAGAAUGUAAUGAUGUCUAUCAAGUGUCUUGCAGAUUACAGCCCGGUGACUGGGUUCUGAUCAAGGUGCUCCAAAGGAAAAACUGGAGCGCACCCAGGUGGGAGGGACCACAUCAGGUUCUCCUCGCCACGCCCACCGCUUGCAAAAUAGCGGAACGACCAUCUUGGAUCCAUCAGAGCCAUUGCAGACGAGUAAGUGAAGCCAUCUAAACUCAGCCGACACAGGCUCGCCCAAUUGUCGUGAUCUCGCCCGGUGGAGGGAACAGCCUUUCUGGCCGGGGGGUCUACUCACGACAGGAGGGUGUGUCCUGUUGUCAUGAGGUGGUGGCUCCUAAUAACUGCAGCGGCCCUGACCCUGGCCGGGCUCCUCAUCUUUGCUUCCGUGAGGGACAACAAGUCACGCUAUAUGAAGAAAAGGCAGACACUGUAUGACAAAGGAAAGUACACCAAGUUUCCCCAUGGCUACGCCACUAACUUCUGGUGGCAGUUUAUGAACACUACAGCUCACUUGAAUAAUAAAACUGACUGCUAUGCAUGUACCCAUAUGCCCCUAUCCUCACAGACGUCUGGCCUGUGGCCGUACAGCAUACCUGAAGAUCGCAGUUGGUGCCUGUUGGGCCUGGCAACACAUCCAGGCUACGGUACUCUUUGGUCCAAGGCCAACUACAGCAUCCCAGCAAAAGCAACCUGGAGGUCAUCAUCACCCACAAAUGUGAACUGUUCCGGACAGACCUACCUACUGACCUGGCCCCAAGUCUCAGACCCACUGCCUGAUGUAAUUCUACU
Molecule: long non-coding RNA, 4389 nt
Organism: Haplochromis burtoni (Burton's mouthbrooder)
Lineage: Eukaryota; Metazoa; Chordata; Actinopteri; Cichliformes; Cichlidae
Exons: 2
Source: RefSeq, a predicted model, not a curated record